CCUGGGCACCUCCUGUUCCUUGGAAAACCCCCCAGGAAUUGUUUUGCUCCCCACCACCAGUGCUGGGCUCCCAGGGAGAAGGGAGGGGAGCACAAGUACAAAGGACAGGGAAGGGAAGGCUGAGCACCCCUGCACCUCUCAGCUGCCCCACUGCUGGGGGAAUAUUGCUUCAGCUUAAAAAGGCCUUUGGAUUAAAAGUGAAUUCAGUGCUUUUCCAUCAAAAACAUCCAGAGCUCUGUUCCCUGACCAGGAUGCAGCGAGGCCCCCUCACCCUCACCCUCCCUGGGUGAUUUGUGCUCCAUCAGCACCCUCAGAACACGGGGCCUCUGUGCUUUCAUUUCCCUCAGUGCAAGUGGAGGAAGCCAGGAGCUGUCAGGGAGCACAGAGCCACCAGCACGUCCCCAGUGAGCCCUGAGGGGCUGCCCAGCACCCUGAGCUCAGCCCAAUUUGGUUUUUCAAACACAAAGAGCCACCCAAGGAGGCCCAUCAGACACUCAAGUGCCUUCCCCUACACCCAGCAAAUACAAAAUCUUGGAUAGAAACUGGAGAUGUCUGACCAUGGGGGUGUUUGGAUGAGAACAAAACGCUGCCCAGAGCAUGGCAGGAGCCAGGGUGACACUUUGUGCCCAUCACCUGGCCCUGUGUCCCAGCAACAGCUGGCUCUGGGCUGUGGGAUGGCAUCUCCAGCCCUGGGAAUGCCCAGCAGAGCAGACUCCUGUCUGGGAAUGCCCAGGAGAGCAGAUUCCUGUCUGGGAAUGCCCAGGAGAGCAGAUUCCUGCCAAUCUUGGGAAUGCCCAGGAGAGCAGAUUCCUGUCAGUUCUGGGAAUGCCCAGCAGAGCAGACUCCUGUCUGGGAAUGCCCAGGAGAGCAGAUUCCUGCCAUCCCUGGGAAUGCCCAGCAGAGCAGAUUCCUGUCUGGGAAUGCCCAGGAGAGCAGAUUCCUGUCUGGGAAUGCCCAGCAGAGCAGAUUCCUGCCAGGACUGAGCUGCUCUGGUCACUGCCAUGGCCAGCCCAGCUCCNCCCUGCCACGGAGGGUCUGGGCUGCCUCCCCUGAGGGGCCCUCCCGAGGAACCCUCCCGAGGAACCCUCCUGAAAAACCCUCCUGAGAAACCCUCCUGAAAAACCCUCCUGAAGGUUCCUCCUGAGGAACCCUCCUGAAGGUUCCUCCUGAGGAACCCUCCUGAGGAACCCUCCUGAAGGUUUCUCCUGAGGAACCCUCCUGAAGAACCCUCCUGAAGGUUCCUCCUGAGGAACCCUCCUGAAGGUUUCUCCUGAGGGUCCCUCCUGAAGGUUCCUCCUGAAGGUUCCUCCUGAAGAACCCUCCUGAAGGUUCCUCCUGAAAAACCCUCCUGAAGGUUCCUCCUGAGGAACCCUCCUGAAGAACCCUCCUGAGGAACCCUCCUGAGGAACCCUCCUGAAGGUUCCUCCUGAAAAACCCUCCUGAAGGUUCCUCCUGAGGAACCCUCCUGAAAAACCCUCCUGAAGGUUCCUCCUGAGGAACCCUCCUGAAAAACCCUCCUGAAGAACCCUCCUGAAGGUUCCUCCUGAGGAACCCUCCUGAAGAACCCUCC
Molecule: long non-coding RNA, 1570 nt
Organism: Zonotrichia albicollis (white-throated sparrow)
Lineage: Eukaryota; Metazoa; Chordata; Aves; Passeriformes; Passerellidae
Source: Ensembl